Molecule: ribosomal RNA, 1000 nt
Filed under: Staphylococcus aureus
Lineage: Bacteria; Bacillati; Bacillota; Bacilli; Caryophanales; Staphylococcaceae
Description: bacterial SSU rRNA
Rfam family: Bacterial small subunit ribosomal RNA
Source: RNAcentral
CAGGAUGAACGCUGGCGGCGUGCCUAAUACAUGCAAGUCGAGCGAACGGACGAGAAGCUUGCUUCUCUGAUGUUAGCGGCGGACGGGUGAGUAACACGUGGAUAACCUACCUAUAAGACUGGGAUAACUUCGGGAAACCGGAGCUAAUACCGGAUAAUAUUUUGAACCGCAUGGUUCAAAAGUGAAAGACGGUCUUGCUGUCACUUAUAGAUGGAUCCGCGCUGCAUUAGCUAGUUGGUAAGGUAACGGCUUACCAAGGCAACGAUGCAUAGCCGACCUGAGAGGGUGAUCGGCCACACUGGAACUGAGACACGGUCCAGACUCCUACGGGAGGCAGCAGUAGGGAAUCUUCCGCAAUGGGCGAAAGCCUGACGGAGCAACGCCGCGUGAGUGAUGAAGGUCUUCGGAUCGUAAAACUCUGUUAUUAGGGAAGAACAUAUGUGUAAGUAACUGUGCACAUCUUGACGGUACCUAAUCAGAAAGCCACGGCUAACUACGUGCCAGCAGCCGCGGUAAUACGUAGGUGGCAAGCGUUAUCCGGAAUUAUUGGGCGUAAAGCGCGCGUAGGCGGUUUUUUAAGUCUGAUGUGAAAGCCCACGGCUCAACCGUGGAGGGUCAUUGGAAACUGGAAAACUUGAGUGCAGAAGAGGAAAGUGGAAUUCCAUGUGUAGCGGUGAAAUGCGCAGAGAUAUGGAGGAACACCAGUGGCGAAGGCGACUUUCUGGUCUGUAACUGACGCUGAUGUGCGAAAGCGUGGGGAUCAAACAGGAUUAGAUACCCUGGUAGUCCACGCCGUAAACGAUGAGUGCUAAGUGUUAGGGGGUUUCCGCCCCUUAGUGCUGCAGCUAACGCAUUAAGCACUCCGCCUGGGGAGUACGACCGCAAGGUUGAAACUCAAAGGAAUUGACGGGGACCCGCACAAGCGGUGGAGCAUGUGGUUUAAUUCGAAGCAACGCGAAGAACCUUACCAAAUCUUGACAUCCUUUGACAACUCUAGAGA